RNAcentral lists this ribosomal RNA (460 nucleotides) under uncultured bacterium. RNAcentral's name for it is "partial 16S ribosomal RNA". It matches the Rfam family "Bacterial small subunit ribosomal RNA", at positions 338 to 795 of the family's 1533-position model. The record is from RNAcentral.
CCUACGGGCGGCUGCAGUGAGGAAUAUUGGUCAAUGGUCGGGAGACUGAACCAGCCAAGCCGCGUGAGGGAUGAAGGUACAGAGUAUCGUAAACCUCUUUUGUCAGGGAACAAAGGCGGGGACGUGUCCCCGGCUGAGUGUACCUGAAGAAAAAGCAUCGGCUAACUCCGUGCCAGCAGCCGCGGUAAUACGGAGGAUGCGAGCGUUAUCCGGAUUUAUUGGGUUUAAAGGGUGCGCAGGCGGUCUGUUAAGUCAGCGGUCAAAGCCCGGGGCUCAACCCCGGCCCGCCGUUGAAACUGGCAGUCUCGAGUUGGAGAGAAGUAUGCGGAAUGCGCGGUGUAGCGGUGAAAUGCAUAGAUAUCGCGCAGAACUCCGAUUGCGAAGGCAGCAUGCCGGCGCCACACUGACGCUGAGGCACGAAAGCGUGGGUAUCGAACAGGAUUAGAUACCCCGAGUAGUC